Molecule: unclassified non-coding RNA, 326 nt
Filed under: Qipengyuania nanhaisediminis
Lineage: Bacteria; Pseudomonadati; Pseudomonadota; Alphaproteobacteria; Sphingomonadales; Erythrobacteraceae
Description: Erythrobacter nanhaisediminis Long range pseudoknot
Source: RNAcentral
ACGCACGACUAUGACGUGAAGAUGCGUAAUGUCGUGAAGUUCAUCGAAAACGGCGACAAGGUGAAGUGCACGCUGCGCUUCCGUGGCCGCGAAAUGGCGCACCAGCAGCUGGGUAUGGACCUGCUCAACCGCGUGCGCGACGACGUGGAAGAGAUCGCCAAGGUGGAAAGCUUCCCGCGCCUCGAAGGACGCCAGAUGCUGAUGGUGCUGGCUCCGAAGUAAGCGAGUUUGGUUUACGGAUUUAUGAGGCGGGGCGUCACUUGGUGACUGCCCCGCCUUUUUGCUUCAGGCGGGCCCGUCGACCACGAACGCACUUUUUGCAUCGA